This 774-nucleotide ribosomal RNA is filed under the name uncultured Neocallimastigales. Its description in RNAcentral is "partial large subunit ribosomal RNA". It matches the Rfam family "Eukaryotic large subunit ribosomal RNA", at positions 23 to 616 of the family's 3401-position model. Lineage: Eukaryota; Fungi; Neocallimastigomycota; Neocallimastigomycetes; Neocallimastigales. The record is from RNAcentral.
AGAGAGAGACAUGCGCGCAUAUCAAUAAGCGGAGGAAAAGAAACUAACAAGGAUACCCCUAGUAACGGCGAGUGAAGCGGGAAGAGCUCAAAUUUGAAAUCUUAAAGGGUUUCCCUUUACGAAUUGUAGUUUAAAGAAGUGUUUUCUGUUGAGGUUUUGGUAAAAGUUCUUUGGAAUAGGACAUCAUAGAGGGUGAGAAUCCCGUAUUUGACCUUUACUUUCAACUUUGUGAUACACUUUCAAAGAGUCGGAUUGUUUGGGAAUGCAGUCCAAAAUGGGUGGUAAAUUUCAUCUAAAGCUAAAUAUUGGCGAGAGACCGAUAGCGAACAAGUACCGUGAGGGAAAGAUGAAAAGAACUUUGAAAAGAGAGUUAAACAGUACGUGAAAUUGUCAAAAGGGAAGCGUUUGACACCAGUGUUGUUUUUCUGAAAAUCAAUUAAAGAACUGUUUAUGCUAAGUUGUUUAGACUUUAUCAGCUAACUGUUUAGUUUUGAGCUUUUCUUUAAUGCACUUUUCAGUUAACAAGUCAACAUCAAUUUCUUUUGCUGUAAAAAAGCUUGAGGAAGGUGGCUUGAGAUUCGUCUUAAGUGUUUAUAGCCUCUUGCCUAUGCAGUCGGAGAGAUUGAGGUCUGCAGCGUAGAUCCUUCGGGGCUAAAUGCAUUUGUGCUAAGUUAUAGCAUUUUAUAGACAACUUGUUGACUAUGAUUUGUCUUGUAGCUUACUCGCUUAUGUUAUUUUACCUACGCUUAGGAUGUUGAGCGCAUGUCUCUCUCU